RNAcentral lists this long non-coding RNA (399 nucleotides) under Cricetulus griseus (Chinese hamster). RNAcentral describes it as "lncRNA (ENSCGRG00015034328.1)". Lineage: Eukaryota; Metazoa; Chordata; Mammalia; Rodentia; Cricetidae. The record is from RNAcentral.
AAGAUGUUUGUCCUAACAGUGUGCAGCAAAAUGGGAUCAAGUUGUAGAACUCUCAGAUAACUCUCCAGCACCAUGUCCACCUGUGUACUACCAUGCUUGCCACCACUGACAAUAAUGGACUAAACCUCUGAACUGUCUGUCCUGUGAUGAUGAAUGCUCUCUUAAAUCCUGCCUUUUCUGUCACCAUCUUGUCCGGAUGCUCUGCCUUCCAGUGAUCUCCCUUAAAGAGCUGCAGAAAUUUGGCCUGAGUGCCAGUGGUGUCCUUCACUCUCCAGAAAUGCAGCUCACCACGGAUCCACUUCAAGUUCUGGAGAUGCAUGCAGAGAUCUUGAAUCCAAAGACAGCAGCAUUUCCCAUCCGUGGUAGUCUGAGCAGGCUGAAAAUAAGUGAAACCUAAGG